Molecule: ribosomal RNA, 428 nt
Filed under: uncultured bacterium
Lineage: Bacteria
Description: bacterial SSU rRNA
Rfam family: Bacterial small subunit ribosomal RNA
Source: RNAcentral
UGGGGAAUCUUGCGCAAUGGGCGAAAGCCUGACGCAGCGACGCCGCGUGAGUGAUGAAGGCCUUCGGGUUGUAAAGCUCUGUGGAGGGGGACGAAUAAGGGCCGGCGAAUACCCGGCCCGAUGACGGUACCCCUUUAGCAAGCACCGGCUAACUCUGUGCCAGCAGCCGCGGUAAGACAGAGGGUGCAAACGUUGUUCGGAAUUACUGGGCGUAAAGCGCGUGUAGGCUGCUCGGAAAGUCGGGUGUGAAAGCCCUGGGCUCAACCCAGGAAGUGCACUCGAAACUCCCGAGCUGGAGUUCUGGAGAGGAAGGCGGAAUUCUCGGUGUAGAGGUGAAAUUCGUAGAUAUCGAGAGGAACAUCGGUGGCGAAGGCGGCCUUCUGGACAGAAACUGACGCUGAGACGCGAAAGCGUGGGGAGCAAACAGG